Long non-coding RNA from Girardinichthys multiradiatus, 1497 nucleotides. RefSeq lists it as uncharacterized. NCBI's taxonomy places the organism in Eukaryota, Metazoa, Chordata, Actinopteri, Cyprinodontiformes, Goodeidae. The transcript has 2 exons. The record is from RefSeq and is a predicted model, not a curated record.
CACACACACACACAAUUAACCUGUACUCAACUCCGUGACAUGACAGAGUCUCCCUUCCUCUCCUGCUACCUGCCCUCUGGACUCAAAGAUCUCCUCCAAGAAACACAGAACAUUUGCUCACCUGUCUGUCCACCCUACAACACCAAUUGCUCAUCUGAAGCGCUGCACCCCGAGGGAUUUCACAGUACUGAAAACCUCAGAGUUACACCUCCUGCCAAACUCAGCCUCUGUGGGAAACUUGCCACCUCCUGACGAGCCUCCGUCCUUCCCCAACAUGCCAAACCAGACCUAUCCAGGAAUGAGGUGCCGUUUGUUACAGUUAAAAAUUGGCAGCAAUAUUUUCAGUCAUUUAGUCAAUCAUGAGAAAAAUUAAAUGGGGGUUCAUUUGUUGAAGUCAUAUUUUCAGUUAAAACCUUAAUAUUUAGUUUGUUGCUGUAUGUAAGACCAGCAGUUACAACCACCACCACUGGAACAUUGAGCCGCUCUGUAAGCAUUUUCUAUUGUUUUUUCAUUUUUACAGUUAUUUUUUAAAAUAUGUUUAAAGCCAGAAGCAGACUCAAAAUCUGUUUACUUUUGUUAAGUCCACAUCUCUGUUUUGAUUAGCAGCCUACUGUGACUUUCAGAGGUAUUCUUUUGACCCACAUGCAGAACCACACAAACUGGAGAUGAAGAAACACUUAAAAGAUUUAUUUUGACACCAAGAAGGAGAGAUAAUUCUGGAUUCAGGUACUCUGGGUUUGAGGGUUCUGGAAAGGACAGCAACAGUUAGUGGGAGUUUUCUGAGAAUGGUUGAUCGGAAGGAGGAUUAAUAGGUAGAGAAGCCUUACUGUUCUGAGCGCGAUGGAAUGCUAUGAGGCAGGGUUGGGAUUCCAGUGGUGAGUCUUGUAGAAGCUGGUGACUCCACGCGACUGUUGGAGAGUGGGCAGGCAGAGGCUGAAGGUUCAGUAGAAAGGUUUUCCAGAAACGAGCGGAUAAUAAGUGAUGUUGCGUGGAGAAAUCCGGGGACAAAGUGGCUUCAUAAAUCUGGGGACAGGAGACAACGAAGGAGGACUUCUUCCUGGAAGAAUUCAAAAGACAGGUUAGAAACUACUUAGAGGUCUAAUUGAGAACUUGAAUUUACCAACAACGUGGACCAUCAGGUGAAGAAUGCUCGUUCAGCAGCUCCUUCAGAACACCGUGGGAGAUGAUGACUUGCGCCCACCAGCAGAGCUCCUCAGGAGAGACUGGGAAAAACCAGCCACGCAAACAAUUGUGACAUCCUGUCUGCAUUAUUAACGAAAGUAAAAAAAUAAAAUAAAUAAAUGCUUGUGUUGUUUAGCACAGCAGGGGGCGCUAAUUGAAUAAUGCGAGACGAUAGGAACCUAGAGGAGUGAAACAAUGUAGAAAUACAUACAGAUGUUUUUUUUUUUCUUUUAAGUAAAGAAGAACCCUAGCCAGAGAAACCAUUUAUUUGAUUUAAAAAUGGAAAUGAAACAAAUUUCAAUCUUUUUCUUUUAU